RNAcentral lists this unclassified non-coding RNA (1072 nucleotides) under Hevea brasiliensis (rubber tree). Lineage: Eukaryota; Viridiplantae; Streptophyta; Magnoliopsida; Malpighiales; Euphorbiaceae. The record is from RNAcentral.
UAAUAAUCCAUCUUUUCCACAGGCAGGUUCAGAACUGACGUCUCCACCUCUUCAAAUGGAACAAAUGCGAAAGGUGCAAGUCCUCUCUUGUGUGAUGUGCGAGAAAUCUCAUCCUCUUGCAAGUCCUCAACCACUCCAAUGAUGUCCUCCUCAGGCCCACUGACCCCAUUGCUAUCCACUUUACUAGUAACGAGUGAGAGUAUAUCCAUCCGAUUGUUAGCACCUGCGGUUGUUCCUCUUAACCUUAAACAGACUUUCCACAUUGUUGGACCCAGUCCAGGGUACAGGAAAGCAGCUUCACCCUUGUCGUCAGUCAAUGAGUAGCGGCCACUAAAAACAUCAUCAACUUUAGAUGCACGGAGAUUCAUGCAUUUCACAACCUCCUUCACUGUAUGAGAAGAAGUUUUAUAAAGAAACCUGCCAGAAGGUAAGAAUCUUAUGUAACGAUAGUAGCAAACCAAAUGAACUGGAUUGGUGACAUUCCACUCUCUCACACCAGCACGGAUAUAGGUGUUCCUACUCACAUAGAGACCAUCAGUACGGACUCUUGGUCUUAAAAGCCACAUUUUCCUCCAUGAGCUCUCAUAUUUUGAUUGCAAAAUCUUAUAGUUUUCCACCACUCCAGAUAGCUGCCAUGCCUUUAAGCAAGCACUACGCCAGAAUACAGGAUUACGAAGAGUAUAUCUCCAUUUUCGGCACACACAAGCAGCCCUUCCCAAAUCAUAUGGAUUCAUUCGGAAAAAAACCUCCAAGAGCAGCUCAUCUGGCAAGGAACGAUGUAUCAAUGCAGGAUCAUUAUUUUGUCUUCUAAUCGCACUCCCAUAUGGUGCAACAGGUCGGACAUUAACUCCAUAAAGAUCAAGCCAUGGUCUUUGUGUAACUAAGUAUUGGACAGUCUUCAAUUGCAAAGCUGUCUCGAGCUCGGCUGGAACUUGAAAAGCAAUAUCUGAAUUCAUGUGGAUGAUGGAUAGGGCUGGCUGUUUCACAAAUAAAAGCUUCAAUAUUUCCUUUCGAUUUUCCCAGGAAAAUUGGAGAGGACAAAAGAGAAAAAUGAGGAAGGACCGAGAAAAAU